GUUAGGAAUAUUGGACAAUGGGCGCAAGCCUGAUCCAGCCAUGCCGCGUGAGUGAUGAAGGCCUUCGGGUUGUAAAGCUCUUUAGUCCACGAAUAUAAUGACUGUAGUGGAAGAAUAAGCCCCGGCUAACUUCGUGCCAGCAGCCGCGGUAAUACGAAGGGGGCGAGCGUUAUUCGGAAUCACUGGGCGUAAAGCGUGCGUAGGCUGUUUUGUAAGUCAGAAGUGAAAGCCCAGGGCUUAACCCUGGAAUUGCUUUUGAAACUACAAGACUCGAAUUCGGGAGAGGAUAGCGGAAUUGUCAGUGUAGCAGUGAAAUGCAUAGAUAUUGACAGGAACACCAGUGGCACAAGCGGCUAUCUGGACCGAUAUUGACGCUGAGGCACGAAAGCGUGGGGAGCAAACAGGAUUAGAAACCCUUGUAGUCC
This 425-nucleotide ribosomal RNA is filed under the name uncultured bacterium. RNAcentral describes it as "partial 16S ribosomal RNA". It matches the Rfam family "Bacterial small subunit ribosomal RNA", at positions 354 to 796 of the family's 1533-position model. The record is from RNAcentral.